RNAcentral lists this ribosomal RNA (393 nucleotides) under Acanthamoeba sp. MN-2012. Its description in RNAcentral is "SSU rRNA". It matches the Rfam family "Eukaryotic small subunit ribosomal RNA", at positions 781 to 1078 of the family's 1831-position model. The record is from RNAcentral. Lineage: Eukaryota; Discosea; Longamoebia; Acanthamoebidae.
CAAUUUUCUGCCACCGAAUACAUUAGCAUGGGAUAAUGGAAUAGGACCCUGUCCUCCUAUUUUCAGUUGGUUUUGGCAGCGCGAGGACUAGGGUAAUGAUUAAUAGGGAUAGUUGGGGGCAUUAAUAUUUAAUUGUCAGAGGUGAAAUUCUUGGAUUUAUGAAAGAUUAACUUCUGCGAAAGCAUCUGCCAAGGAUGUUUUCAUUAAUCAAGAACGAAAGUUAGGGGAUCGAAGACGAUCAGAUACCGUCGUAGUCUUAACCAUAAACGAUGCCGACCAGCGAUUAGGAGACGUUGAAUACAAAACACCACCAUCGGUGCGGUCGUCCUUGGCGUCGGUCUUUCGGGGCCGGCGCGGGGACGGCUUAGCCCGGUGGCACCGGUGAAUGACUCC